GAAAACCGGUAGAUGAUAGAGCAUGGAAGUUUCUUCCAGGAAAAGCUUAGCCAGCCAGCAUGGCUCCGAAAACAGACCGAUUUGCAGGCUGACCCUGUACAACGAAGGGGGAAAGCAAUACCGACCAUGCCGAUACGGCGAGGAACGGCAGGCUGCGGCGGAGUCAAAGAACG
Non-coding RNA from Prosthecochloris aestuarii DSM 271, 173 nucleotides. The record is from Rfam. NCBI's taxonomy places the organism in Bacteria, Pseudomonadati, Chlorobiota, Chlorobiia, Chlorobiales, Chlorobiaceae.